UCAGCUCCCACCUCUCCUCACAGCCUCCAGCUCUCCACAAAGCCACCUUCAUUUGAGGAGAUGGUGUUACUAUUAGGGACAGGCAUGGGGCUGAGAGGAAAGUGAAGGCAAGCUGGGGAUGGAGCCUGGGAUGUGCUGUGGGAGCCAGGAGCAGAGGGGAUGAUGGUGUGGGUUGAGCACCAUGUCCAUGAGGAAUGGCUGUUUGCCUGCAAAGCCGCUUGCGGGUCAAGGGGACUCACAUUUCUGCUGAACAGUCCAGUAUAUCUUCACCUUGUGUAAUCUCAGCUGGACCCUUUGCUGUCAUGCUCCCCACCUGUAAAACCUCUGCUUUUGAAUCUUAAGAGAAAUCUUUACGGUGGUCAGUAAAUCCUAAUGUUGUGCUUGUUCUGUUUUAUGAGAUUUCCACUAGCACUCGGCUGUGGAGGUUUGUCACUUGCCCGAUCUAACAGCUCUAAGGACACAGCAGACUUAGGCUGAGGAGGGAAGAAGUCAGCUGGCUCCAUCUUGUUUAAAUGAGCUUCAGGUUCAGUACAUUAAUGUGCUAAUAAGGAAGUCUUGUGUUCCCACACUGUUCUUAAAGGCAUUCUCACACUGCUGACCUGACCUCUUUAAUCCUGGCUUUCCUGAAGGAAAAGCUGAUCCACCAGGCCUCCUAUAUCUAAAAUGGGAUGAAAGGAAGAGAUGGACCUAUUUCUAUGCUGGAGUUUCUCAGAAGUCAGAGAAACUCCACUGAAGCCACAAAUGUGAAGCCAGUAGAAAUGGCAGCACAGUGGGACUUCUCUGCAACACAUUGUGGUUACCUUCCAGUAGGGCCUGUUUGCAGGAAUUCAAGGAAGAAGAAUGGAAGCUGUGUACAACAGGUCCAUUGUGAGCAUUAUGAUCAUGGCACAGAUGAUGUGAAUCAGCUCCAGAGAAGCAGCAUCAGCUUAGCUGAGAAUCUCUAUAGAAGUCUCAGCUGAAGGUAAAUACCCCCAAUUUGAGCAACACUCCUUUAUUACAGCUGGACACUUGGUAUUAUUUCUGCACUUUAACACUUUAUGCAUUCUUUCAGCCCAAAUGUGAGUGUUCUUUCUAAAAUCUUCUUUCUAGGAAUAAACAAGCCUAUAACAGGCAUUGCUGAGCUGUUUGCAGCAGACAAACACAUAAGAGUUGCAAAUGCAGCCAAAGACAGAUAUCAAAAAGAAAUAGUCUCGAAAUGUUUGGCACUGUUUGCUUACCUUUGGAGUAGAUAUCCUGUUCCUCCUCUUCAAGUGUUUCACGUUAUUUUUUUAAUAGAGCUGGGUGAGCUGGUAUUUCUACUGCUCAAGCUGUCUCUAAACUUGUAUUUCCAACAGUGGCAGCAGAUUAUGAGACGAUACUUAUGGAAAUGACAUUAUAUCAUUCUUUAAAAUACCCAUCCUGCAAGGCAAAAUCUGCAGAAAUUACAGGACUAAGAGGCCUCCUUUGAGAGGCAGAAACUAUUUUAACUCGUUAUUUUUAGAGCUCUGCAAAUCACAUAUUUUUCUCUUCACUGGCAAUCCAAAAAAAAAAAAAUAUUGGAAAU
This is a long non-coding RNA of Neopsephotus bourkii (Bourke's parrot), 1543 nucleotides long. RefSeq lists it as uncharacterized. The record is from RefSeq and is a predicted model, not a curated record. The transcript is spliced from 4 exons. NCBI's taxonomy places the organism in Eukaryota, Metazoa, Chordata, Aves, Psittaciformes, Psittacidae.